Molecule: long non-coding RNA, 486 nt
Organism: Saccostrea cuccullata (small rock oyster)
Lineage: Eukaryota; Metazoa; Mollusca; Bivalvia; Ostreida; Ostreidae
Exons: 4
Source: RefSeq, a predicted model, not a curated record
UUAGAGGACUUUAACCUUUCAGCUUUCUUGGCCCCGGGAGUGCUCGGUCUCUGAUCAGCGGGGGCAUUUUCUCUAUAUAAGAAGAAGAUGGAGACUCCCUACCCACCCGAUGUAUUUUGUCGGACAGUUUUCUGUACAUUGCAGUCACCAAUAUAUCCAAAUAUCAUCACCGGCCCAGACGUCAUUCACUCCUUAGAACUGUGCUAGUAGCAGUAAGGUGUCAUCAUUUGAGAUGGUCACAGUAUCCAAUACUCUGAAGUCACAGGACUCAAAUUUCAUACAUGUUCACAGCUUCCUUGGCCCAGGGAGUGCUCGGUCUCUGAUCAGCGGGGGCAUUUUCUCGAUAUAAGAAGAAGAAGGAGACUCGCUACCCACCCGAUGUAUUUUGUCGGACAGUUUUCUGUACAUUGCAGUCCCCAUAAUAUCAAAAUAUCAUCACUGGCCCAAACGUCAUUCACUCCUUUUAACUGUGCUGGUAGCAGUAAG